RNAcentral lists this long non-coding RNA (1423 nucleotides) under Homo sapiens (human). RNAcentral describes it as "HSALNT0372432". Lineage: Eukaryota; Metazoa; Chordata; Mammalia; Primates; Hominidae. The record is from RNAcentral.
GGUCUCCCUCUGAUGCCGAGCCGAAGCUGGACUGUACUGCUGCCAUCUCGGCCCACUGCAACCUCCCUGCCUGAUUCUCCUGCCUCAGCCUGCUGAGUGCCUGCGAUUGCAGGCGCACGCAGCCACGCCUGACUGGUUUUCGUAUUUUUUUGGUGGAGACGGGGUUUCGCUGUGUUGGCCGGGCUGGUCUCCAGCUCCUAACCGCGAGUGAUCCACCAGCCUCGGCCUCCCGAGGUGCCGGGAUUGCAGACGGAGUCUGGUUCACUCAGUGCUCAAUGGUGCCCAGGCUGGAGUGCAGUGGCGUGAUCUCGGCUCGCUACAACCUCCGCCUGCCUUGGCCACCCAAAGUGCCGAGAUUGCAGUCUCUGCCCGGCCGCCACCCCGUCUAGGAAGUGAGGAGCGUCUCUGCCUGGCUGCCCAUCGUCUGGGACGUGAGGAGCCCCUCUGCCUGGCUGCCCAGUCUGGAAAGUGAGGAGCGUCUCUGCCCGGCCGCCAUCCCAUCUAGGAAGUGAGGAGCGCCUCUGCCUGGCCGCCCAUCGUCUGGGAUGUGAGGAGCGCCUCUACCCGGCCGCGACCCCGUCUGGGAGGUGAGGAGCGUCUCUGCCCGGCCGCCCCGUCUGAGAAGAGAGGAGACCCUCCGCCUGGCAACCGCCCCGUCUGAGAAGUGAGGAGCCCCUCCGCCCGGCAGCCGCCCCAUCUGAGAAGUGAGGAGCCCCUCCGCCCGGCAGCCACCCCGUCUGGGAAGUGAGGAGCGUCUCCGCCCGGCAGCCACCCCGUCCAGGAGGGGGGGGUCAGCCCCCUGCCCGGCCAGCCGCCCCGUCCGGGAGGUGAGGGGCACCUCUGCCCGGCCACCCCUACUGGGAAGUGAGGAGCCCCUCUGCCCGGCCAGCCGCCCCGUCCGGGAGGGAGGUGGGGGUGUCAGCCCCCCGCCCGGCCAGCCGCCCCAUCCGGGAGGGAGGUGGGGGGGGUCAGCCCCCCGCCCGGCCAGCCGCCCCGUCCGGGAGGUGAGGGGCGCCUCUGCCCGGCCUCCCCUACUGGGAAGUGAGGAGCCCCUCUGCCCGGCCACCACCCCGUCUGGGAGGUGUACCCAACAGCUCAUUGAGAACGGGCCAUGAUGACAAUGGCGGUUUUGUGGAAUAGAAAGCGGGGAAAGGUGGGGAAAAGAUUGAGAAAUCGGAUGGUUGCCGUGUCUGUGUAGAAAGAGGUAGACAUGGGAGACUUUUCAUUUUGCUCUGUACUAAGAAAAAUUCUUAUCCUGUUGAUCUGUGACCUUACCCCCAACCCUGUGCUCUCUGAAACAUGUGCUGUGUCCACUCAGGGUUAAAUGGAUUAAGGGCGGUGCAAGAUGUGCUUUGUUAAACAGAUGCUUGAAGGCAGCAUGCUCCUUAAGAGUCAUCACCACUCCCUAAUCUCAAGUACCCAG